Molecule: ribosomal RNA, 462 nt
Filed under: uncultured bacterium
Lineage: Bacteria
Description: partial 16S ribosomal RNA
Rfam family: Bacterial small subunit ribosomal RNA
Source: RNAcentral
GACGAACGCUGGCGGCGUGCUUAACACAUGCAAGUCGAACGGAAAGGCCCUUCGGGGUACUCGAGUGGCGAACGGGUGAGUAACACGUGGGUGAUCUGCCCUGCACUUUGGGAUAAGCCUGGGAAACUGGGUCUAAUACCGAAUAGGACCACGCGCUUCAUGGUGUGUGGUGGAAAGCUUUUGCGGUGUGGGAUGGGCCCGCGGCCUAUCAGCUUGUUGGUGGGGUAAUGGCCUACCAAGGCGACGACGGGUAGCCGGCCUGAGAGGGUGACCGGCCACACUGGGACUGAGAGACGGCCCAGACUCCUACGGGAGGCAGCAGUGGGGAAUAUUGCACAAUGGGCGCAAGCCUGAUGCAGCGACGCCGCGUGAGGGAUGACGGCCUUCGGGUUGUAAACCUCUUUCACCAGGGACGAAGCGUAAGUGACGGUACCUGGAGAAGAAGCACCGGCCAACUACGUG